GAGAGAGACAGAGAGAGACAGAGAGAGACAGAGAGAGAGAGACAGAGAGAGAGACAGAGAGAGAGAGAGAGAGACAGAGAGACAGAGAGACAGACAGAGGGAGAGUAAAAGUCUGAGGGAAGGUGUGACAGAGCGGCCCGGAGAGAAAGAGAACCCAGGACAGACCGGGACGACAAGCCCACCAACAGAGCCAGACCUGCAGACGGUGAGUAUAAGAGAGUUAUCUCCAUCUUUACUGCAGCUGUGGAGAUUCUGAACAGGUGUGUCCACGUUUAGAGUUUAAACCCGGGACACGGUUCAAAGUAAUCCUUCAGGGUUGAAGCUAUGGGACAGGAUCUGAUCUUGAAAUCAAGAGGUUCACAGUUUUACUAAUCCAUAAGAUCUGAUCAUCCAGUCCUGAUUUAAUCCGGAUGAAACCUCCAGUUUGUGCCGCUGAAACGGAUCCGUUCAGACCGGAUUAAAGACGUUAUGUGAGAAAUGAUUCAACUGCUCAAACAAAAUAACAUCUUUACAUCGUAGUUGAUUAUUUAAGACACCUUUAAAAUAGAUUUUGUAGAGCUGUCGACAUUAACUGGUUAAUAACGGCUCAUUGAAGUCUGAAAGGAAGUCAGAAAUUCACUUUAAUCGCAUUAAUCUCGUGAUAUUUUUGUCCCUUAAGGCUCACCGUAGAAAGUCCUCCUCAGUGUCUCCCUGUAGUCUCAGUCGGAACAGGGACCAGGUUGAUCUAAUCUGGUUUUUCUUUUAACAACCGGGUCAAACGGGAGCUGGAUUAGCUGACCCUCGGUAGAAAAGAAAAGUGGGUUACCAAAUCUGGAUCCUUUUUAUCUGUAUAAAAACCUUUUGAUCAGCCGGGCCUGAAGAUCAGGACAGAGACAAACUGUUCUGCUAGAGCUAAAAAACAGAUAGAGCGCCAUCCUCAAGCAGGAAGUGACCUGACAGGUGAGGGAGUGCGUGACGCUCGCUCAGAGAUUAUUGUUCUGAUAUUAAAAGAGGCUGUUAAGAAUGAAAUGUUAGAAAUUAAAGAGUCCAAACAGUGAACAACAAACCUGAACUUCUUCUCCCUCCUGUUUCCUCCAGGGUCUCAUCAUCGGUGUCUGUGUUGGUGGUCUCGUUGUCGUUUUACUUGCUGUAGUC
This is a long non-coding RNA of Labrus mixtus (cuckoo wrasse), 1134 nucleotides long. RefSeq lists it as uncharacterized. NCBI's taxonomy places the organism in Eukaryota, Metazoa, Chordata, Actinopteri, Labriformes, Labridae. The transcript has 3 exons. The record is from RefSeq and is a predicted model, not a curated record.